AAAGAAAACAUCUACUGAUAUGAAAUGGCAUAAGGAGAAACGUGUGGAUGAUGGGGUACUAAGGCAUCCGGCUGAUGGUGAGGAAUGGAAGAAUUUUGAUGUCCGGUAUCCUACCUUUGCUGCGGAUCCGCGAAAUGUGAGGCUAGGAUUGGCCACCGAUGGUUUUAACCCUUUUGGAACUAUGAGCACUUCAUAUAGUAUGUGGCCCAUUAUUGUGAUGCCUUACAAUCUCCCUCCUUGGAAGUGUAUGAAAGAACCCUUUUCAUGAUGUCAUUGCUUAUUCUCGGUCGAUCUGCACCUGGAAGAGAUAUUGAUGUGUACUUGCGACCUUUGAUUGAUGAGUUGAAAGAGUUGUGGGAGGAUGGCAUCCAAACUUAUGAUGCCUCUAAUGGGCAAUUUUUUAAGAUGCAUGCAGCUAUCAUGUGGACCAUUAACGAUUUUUCUGCGUAUGCCAACAUGUCUGGAUGGACUACGAAAGGUUAUUUAGCUUGCCCCAUAUGCAAUGAGGAUGCAUCAUCGCAACAUUUGCGGAGUAAGAUAGGCUACAUGGGAGCUCGUCGCUUCUUACCUAAGAACCACUCUUGGAGAAAAAGCAAAUUGUUCAAUGGCCAAGUUUUGAAUAGGUCCAAGCCUUCAGAGUUAACAGGGGAAGAAAUAUUGAGGCAAAUAGAAUCGGGAGUGUACAAGCUGCAUGGAAAGCAUCCAACCAAUAGAAAAAGACAAAGGGAUGAAAAUCCAAUUUUGAAUUGGACAAAGAGAAGCAUCUUGUUUGAACUGCCUUAUUGGAAGACACUCAAACUUCGACAUUGUCUUGAUAUUAUGCAUAUAGAGAAGAAUAUAUUUGACAAUUUGAUUGGAACGUUACUGGGUGUAGAUGGGAAAAGUAAGGACACAGAAAAAGCAUGUAGAGAUUUGGAGGAUAUGAGAAUAUGAAAGGAGUUGCACCUAAAGAAACGUGCAGAUGGGUCAUUUGAGAAACCCCCAGCGUUGUACACAUUGUCCCAAAUCGAGAGACAAUAGUUUUGUGAAUUCUUAAAAUCGAUAAAGUAUCCCGAUGGCUAUGCCGCAAAUAUCUCGAGUUGUGUUAGUACAAAAGGUGGUAAAUUAACUGGUCUUAAAACUCAUGAUUGCCACGUCCUUCUUCAAAAGCUUCUUCCAAUUGGGAUGCGUGGGUUCCUUAAUAAGGAAAUCAGUACUGCAUUGUUUGAGUUAGGAAGUUUCUUCCAACAGUUAUGCUCGAAGACAUUAAGGGUAGAGGAUCUCGACAAACUUGAGGAUGACAUCAUACUUGUACUUUGCAAGCUUGAAAAGAUUUUUCCUCUAGCUUUUUUUUUGAUGUUAUGGUGCACUUGGCUGUUCACUUACCGCAUGAGGCUAAGCUUGGAGGUCCUGUGCAAUACAGGUGGAUGUACCCAAUUGAAAGGUAAUUUUCUUGUACUCUUACAAAUUAAUAGGAAGUAAUUGAAUUAUAGUUCUAGAUAGAGUUGUAGAAUAAUAUUGUUAUGUGGGUUCUUUAUUUAUAGGCUACUUGGAGUACUAAAAGGUUUUGUUGGCAAUAAAGCUCGUCCAGAAGGUUCAAUUGUAGAGGCGUAUGUUUCAAAAGAGUGUACAACUUUUUGCUCAAUGUAUCUCGACGGAAUUGAAACGGUGUUCAACCGAGAAGAAAGGAAUGGUGGUGAGCGUGGCCCAGGUUUAGAUGUAUUUACUCAAAGUGUUCGUCCGUUUGGGCAAAUCCAAAGGGCACCUGAUCCUCCCACUAAGCAACGUGAGAUGGCACAUUGGUUUGCCUUAUAUAAUUGCUCCGGAGUCGAACCAUAUCUAGAGUAUGUUUCAUUUAAAUACACAUUGUAUCUCAUAGUUAGAGUGGAAAAAAUCCCAUAAUUAUGGUUAUUCAAUUAUACUGAUUAUAAAUUUUUAAGUAGGGAACACAAGAGCUUGUUAGCUGAUGGAAGUGCUGUAGAUAUCGCAAAGAGACAACGCAAAGAAUUUCCAAAGUGGUUCAAAGAAUGUAUGAAUGAGUUGCGAAGGCAAGGGUUGCCAGAAGCAACCAAUGAAUUGUGGUCAUUGGCCAACGGACCCAGUGCACUAAUAAAGACAUAUUCGGGAUGCAUUUCCAAUGGUGUUCGAUUCCAUACCAAUGAG
Molecule: RNA transcript, 2142 nt
Organism: Rhododendron vialii
Lineage: Eukaryota; Viridiplantae; Streptophyta; Magnoliopsida; Ericales; Ericaceae
Exons: 2
Source: RefSeq, a predicted model, not a curated record